AGAAUCAACGCUGGCGGCGUGCCUAACACAUGCAAGUCGCACGAGAAAGGGUAGCAAUACCUGAGUAAAGUGGCGCACGGGUGAGUAACACGUGAAUUAUCUACCUCCGAGUGGGGAAUAACUGAGAGAAAUCUUAGCUAAUACCGCAUAACACCUACGGGUCAAAGGAGCAAUUCGCUUCAGGAGGGGUCGCGGCCGAUUAGUUAGUUGGCGGGGUAAUGGCCCACCAAGACAGUGAUCGGUA
RNAcentral lists this ribosomal RNA (244 nucleotides) under uncultured bacterium. Its description in RNAcentral is "partial small subunit ribosomal RNA". It matches the Rfam family "Bacterial small subunit ribosomal RNA", at positions 26 to 285 of the family's 1533-position model. The record is from RNAcentral.